GCACUUUGAAUUAUAUCUGAAAAUGAGCCAUCAGCCAAUGGAGCUCUAGUCUACAAACAAAGUGGUAAGGAAUUUGUUGAGCUGCAAUUCACAUCAGUUCC
This 101-nucleotide long non-coding RNA is filed under the name Anolis carolinensis (green anole). RNAcentral's name for it is "lncRNA (ENSACAG00000036396.1)". The record is from RNAcentral. Lineage: Eukaryota; Metazoa; Chordata; Lepidosauria; Squamata; Anolidae.